This is a non-coding RNA of Camellia sinensis, 681 nucleotides long. NCBI's taxonomy places the organism in Eukaryota, Viridiplantae, Streptophyta, Magnoliopsida, Ericales, Theaceae. The record is from RefSeq and is a predicted model, not a curated record.
UUUUGAGCUAUAACUGCAAGCCCUGUUUAUUGCAUUUGAACAAAGCUCAUCUUUGAAGCUCCCUUAGUAAUAUUGAAAAUCGCUUUAGAAAGUUCGAAGUUAAUAAUUUGGUAGCCAUUAUAAGAAUGUGGUCUAAGUUAUGGAUUGGUGGCGAAUUAAGUGGGUGAUGCCAGGAUCUCUUAGUGGAUUGAUAGUGGUGGUCUGGUUACAAAUUCAAGAACCUGGGGAAAAAAGCCUGAAAGCUUUGUUGUUGGCAAGCUUGUGGUCUUUAUGGAACCAGGUGCCACAGAUUUAUGCUAUGGAAGCUGAAAAUUCGAAGCUAAGGUCCAAAGGUUCCCAUGUUGAGCAUGCUACGAAUAACUUGACAAACACAUCUAACCAGGUUACAACAACUUCUAGUUCUCUUGACAUGGCAAUUUGACAUCAAGUAUGGUCAUUGUCAUCGAUACAAGAUUUUGCAAGUUAUGAAUGCUAGUCGAGAAUAUAUAUACAAGUGAGAAUUUGGGAACUGAUUUUAUUUUGAUAAUUUCUCUCUCCGGAAGAUGGAUAUCACUAUGACUUCUCAGAACUUAUGGUUGAAAUAAUUUUCUUUUAAUUUUUUUUUGCUUUAACUUUGUUAGUGUGGUAGAAUAUUUUAUAAUUUUGGCAAGGGAUUUUUAUUGCAAUAUAAAUAAAUUUAUA